CUCUACAGAUCCUAUCUUCUUCUAAAAUGGAACUUUAAGUAAAAGGUCAGUGGUAUUCUCUGGAAAUACUUGGUUUGGUGAUAACACAAUAAGCUUCCCAAAAUAUGAGGGUAAUUGGGAUCCAGGUGAGAAAGAACUUAGUGAUAAAGACUUAUAUAAAGUAAAUGAUCCCCAAGUGCAAAAGAUUUGCUUCAUACAUGGGAAUAGCCAGUAAGAAAAUCAAGAAGAGCUACAAGAGGAAGUGAGAGGGACAACAUCAAAAACCACAGAAAGGGAUAUGCUAGCUGCUGUCCAAACAUAUUUAUUAAGUGCCUACUAUGAGUCAGUCCCUGUGCUAAGCUUUGGGGAUGCAAAAAGAGGACAAGACAACCCUUGACCUUAAUAAGUUUACAAUCUAUAGGGGGAGGCUAUAUAUAAAGCAGAAUGUAAUCCUGGGUUCAAAUCCAAGCUUUGUCAUUUAUCAGCUAGCUGAAUGACCUGAAUAACUGUUAAUUUAAUUACACACUUUUCCAUUUUUUCAUUUGUACAUUAUGGAUAAGUUGUUAUUAGGUAAGAAUCAAUCAGUCCUGUCAGGCUAUAGUCACAGUAGAAUGACAAAUUUGGAGUCAGAAGACCUGGGUUCCUCAUCAGCAUUGGAGGAGAGAGUUUCCUCCCAGUCAGAUAGAUCCCUGUGCUAGUAAAGUACAAGCAAAAAUAAUGGGGAGGAGGAAUAAAGGAAGGAAGAAAGGAAGGAAGAAGGAAGGAAGGAAGGAAGGAAGGAAGGAAGGAAGGAAGGAAGGAAGGAAGGAAGGAAGGAAGGAAGGAAAGGAGGAAGGAAGGAAAGAAGGAAGCAAGGAAGGAAGGAAGCAAGGAAGGAAGCAAGGAAGCAAGGAAGGAAGGAAGGGCCUCUCUGGACCUCAAUUUCAUUAUCUGUAAAUUGAGAAUCUUUUCCAUCUGUAAAUCUGUAAUUCCAAGGUUGAACAUCAGCUGCUGAUGACCAUUGAUGGAAAGAGAUUCCUCCCAGGAUUGGGAGUUCCCUAUACUAAUAAAAUCACAGGUAUAAACA
This 1045-nucleotide long non-coding RNA is filed under the name Monodelphis domestica (gray short-tailed opossum). Its description in RNAcentral is "lncRNA (ENSMODG00000047541.1)". Lineage: Eukaryota; Metazoa; Chordata; Mammalia; Didelphimorphia; Didelphidae. The record is from RNAcentral.